RNAcentral lists this ribosomal RNA (468 nucleotides) under uncultured bacterium. Its description in RNAcentral is "partial 16S ribosomal RNA". It matches the Rfam family "Bacterial small subunit ribosomal RNA", at positions 28 to 507 of the family's 1533-position model. The record is from RNAcentral.
GACGAACGCUGGCGGCGUGCUUAACACAUGCAAGUCGAACGGAAAGGCCCUGCUUUUGUGGGGUGCUCGAGUGGCGAACGGGUGAGUAACACGUGAGUAACCUGCCCUUGACUUUGGGAUAACUUCAGGAAACUGGGGCUCAUACCGGAUAGGAGCUCCUGCUGCAUGGUGGGGGUUGGAAAGUUUCGGCGGUUGGGGCUGGACUCGCGGCUUAUCAGCUUGUUGGUGGGGUAGUGGCUUACCAAGGCUUUGACGGGUAGCCGGCCUGAGAGGGUGACCGGCCACAUUGGGACUGAGAUACGGCCCAGACUCCUACGGGAGGCAGCAGUGGGGAAGAUUGCACAAUGGGCGGAAGCCUGAUGCAGCAACGCCGCGUGCGGGAUGACGGUCUUCGGGUUGUAAACCGCUUUCGCCUGUGACGAAGCGUGAGUGACGGUAAUGGGUAAAGAAGCACCGGCUAACUACGUG